UGAACUUAAGUGGAUUAGUGGCGAACGGGUGAGUAACACGUGAGUAACCUGCCUUACACAAGGGGAUAGCCUCUGGAAACGGAGCAAUCAAUACCCUAUAAAGUCUAAUCAGCCCAUGCUGGAAAGACCAAAGAUUUAUCGGUGUAAGAUGGACUUGCGUCUGAUUAGCUAGUUGGUGAGAUAAAAGCUCACCAAGGCGACGAUCAGUAGCCGGCUUGAGAGAGUGUACGGCCACAUUGGGACUGAGACACGGCCCAAAACUCCUACGGGAGGCAGCAGUGGGGAAUUUUGCACAAUGGGGGAAACCCUGAUGCAGCGACGCCGCGUGAUUUAGAAGGCCUUCGGGUUGUAAAAAUCUUUUUUACGGGAUGAAAAUGACAGUACCGUAAGAAUAAGGUCCGGCUAAAUACGUGCCAGCAGCCGCGGUAAUACGUAUGGACCGAGCGUUGUCCGGAAUCAUUGGGCGUAAAGGGUACGUAGGCGGCCUAGUAAGUUAGAAGUUAAAGAAUAUAGCUCAACUAUAUAAAGCUUUUAAAACUGCUAGGCUUGAGAGAUGGAAGGGAAAGUGGAAUUCCUAGUGUACGGUGAAAUGUGCAGAUAUUAGGAAGAAUACCGGUGGCGAAGGCGACUUUCUGGUCAUCAUCUGACGCUGAGGUACGAAAGCGUGGGUAGCAAACAGGAUUAGAUACCCUGGUAGUCCACGCUGUAAACGAUGAGUGUUAGGUUCUUGGAAUAAUCUGGGAGCCGCAGCUAACGCAUUAGGACACUCCGCCUGGGGAGUACGCAC
RNAcentral lists this ribosomal RNA (787 nucleotides) under uncultured Clostridia bacterium. RNAcentral's name for it is "bacterial SSU rRNA". It matches the Rfam family "Bacterial small subunit ribosomal RNA", at positions 77 to 887 of the family's 1533-position model. Lineage: Bacteria; Bacillati; Bacillota; Clostridia. The record is from RNAcentral.